Molecule: RNA transcript, 1421 nt
Organism: Scylla paramamosain (green mud crab)
Lineage: Eukaryota; Metazoa; Arthropoda; Malacostraca; Decapoda; Portunidae
Exons: 6
Source: RefSeq, a predicted model, not a curated record
AUGUCGUGGUGGAAGAGUUGGUAGCCCUGCACAUGUCCAUCCGAGAAUUACGUCACAGGUGGGCACAAGCCGCAGUCAUUCGCCGGCGCCUCCCUGCAGUCUCAGGUAGCAGCGGCGAUGCGUAGUGCUGUUGCUUUGUACUGAGUGAGCGUGAAUGAACCCUCGUGACGAUGUAUGGUGAUGGACGUGUGGGCCUUUACGUUGUGGAAAUAGAAGGCGCCAUGUUCGACCAGGAUUCCAGGGUGAUCCAGAGCGCCUUCCUGCACGCCAUCCAGCACUACAGUCAAAACACCGCGGGCACGAGGCUUCAGCUUCACGCCUUUGUGGGCAUCAUCAGUAUGGCGGAUGCCUUCAAGAUCUUCAGACUGAGUGGUAACACGGAGAGCAAGUGGAAGAAACCUUGGGAGACUUCCAUGACUCAGGAACAAGCACACCUCACUGGGAGCCUUGUGACUGACAGGUGGUUCAGACCGACUGGGAGACAUGACGUCAGUGACACCACGCAGGGAGUAAAACCAAGAGGAGGAAGAGGAGCAUUCAAGAGACAUCAGCUGGCCAGCAGUCCAUUCAGGAGUGCAGCCUCUACAAGUGGUGGAGGGCAUGGACACUUGGAUAUGGAUGACACUGGUUUGGGUGCCAAAUAUUAAUAGUGCACCUACACAAUUACCACACUCGCUCCUCUCACCAGGCUUAACUAUAAAUAAUUAAAGCAUGGAGGAGUGAGGAGGCACAUCUGUCUGUGAUUAGGGAAUGCAAAUGACGAUGUUCCAAGGACAUCACCCUGUCCUGGGACAUGACAUGAGAGAGAAGAGGAAAAAAGGUCUCUCUCUCUCUCUCUCUCUCUCUCUCUCUCUCUCUCUCUCUCUCUCUCUCUCUCUCUCUCUCUCUCUCUCUCUCUCUCUCUCUCUCUCUCUCUCAGAGUUUCCAUAACACCAAACUGCUCUGGUGUUAAUUUCAUGAGUUGCUGAAUAAUAGAAAUGGGAAUGUUAGUUCAAUGCAUUUAGCUCUGAGUAUGAAAGAAUGACAAGAAAGAAUGCAGAGGACACUAGAACACAUGCACAGAAAACUGAAAGAUUUUUAAACUUUUGAAUAGGUGUAGGAAAAAAAAAAAAAAAAAAAAAAAACUGCAAAAUCAGUGUCUCCUUAAAACAACACAUGACAGCAAUGAUAACUCACACAACAAUAAUGCUUGAUGAAGACUAUAUUUCCAACACAGAUUUAUGAGAACAUUUGGCAAAGCUGUGCACUGUUUACUUGUGUUAAAACUAUGCCAUGAUUUGAGAGGAAAGUUGGUUAGUCAUUAUAGGGUUAAGAUGAUAUAAGGGUGUUUAUUUUAGCUAAUUUCCAAUGACUCCUAAUAUAAGAUUAAAACUUUAAUGAUUAAGUAACUAUUUCAUUGUUUACAUUAAUUUACACCAAAA